AGCAGAACAAUGAUUUGAAAGUCCUGGGUUCUAUUUUCAGCUCCAGUGUUGACUGGCUGUGCAUUCAGCCCUAGGAAGGUCAAAAGCAGAAUGGCCUUGUGUCGGUGACUUUUUCUGUAUGUACAGCUCGGGAUGGAAAACAAAUCAGGCAUCUGGCUCUCAGCCUUGAAGAGCUGUGGUCUUUGGAGAAUAGAUGUGUAGUCACACUUUGUUUUCCUUUUUAAAGCAAAAGAACAGAACAAACUCUCUGGGGGGAGAAUGCGCUGGCAGAGACUAGAAGAGAGAAACCAAAUAACGUUCGAAACAAUCUGGGGGUUAAGGGAUUGUCUCAACCAUUCAGAUCAAAGAAGGCUCUUCAGGGUAAGUUGGAGUUGUCUGCCUUUGAAAAUGGAAGGGGCUAAGGUGUGAAAGAUUUCUCCAAACUUGGACAACAGUAGGAGUCCAGAACGCCAUCUGUAGGGGCAGCAAGAAUGCCAGUGGGCUUUACGCAUUAUAAGAACCAUGAUUAAGUCCUGGCGGUUAUACUCCUGGCUGGUUCUUAUUUCAGCUUUGGUUCCUCUUGCUCAUUCCUCAUAAAAAUUAUUAGUGUGGAUUGUGUACAUUAAGUCAUCUUCAACGGGAAAUUAAAUGGGGCAAUUUCUCUCGUCUAAGUGUUUCAGAAGAGGCCCGAUAUAGGCGGGUGCCAACGAGCCUCACAAAGCUAGGUGGUGGCUUACCUAUUGAGGGGGACUCCUGAGAGGUUAUGGAGGCAUUCCCCCCACGUUACCGCACUGGCAAUCUCUAACCCAUCAAGCAAGACUCUAAGGAAGCUGGCACUGAGGAUUACUUGGAAGUCGUAAUCAAUUUAGUAAGUGCCCUCAUCCUCAUGCUCCGACGCCAUUAGAUGCGUUUCUUCCUUAACGCAAACCAAAAGAGAGAGAUGUCAGUGAAACCACUGGGAGAGUUUGAUAUAUGUCUUCUGGACUUUAUGAGACCUAGGAACUGAUGUCUGACUCAUACUUGAAAACACAGGGGACUGUGGCCUGAACUACUUUUUUCUGGGGUCUACGACCAAGAUAUAUUAGGAGUAAUUAGCACUUCCAGAAUUUGGUGGGGCAAAUAAAGACCCUACUUAAGAAAGGUGGAUUGGGUCAUCAUGGGAAAGAUCUCCUGGAAGGGUAACAUGACCCCAUGAGUGGGGAUGUGCCACUAGAAGCCAAGAGAAUGAAGAAGACAUAACUGGCUAGUCUGAGAAGGCGUAACUACAGUCAGCAGAGCAAUUACUGCAUGACAUCCUAUAAUGUAGACAAAGGGAGGUAUCUUAAAACAAAAAAAAACAAAAAAAAAAACCACACCUCACCAAAUGUCCCACGAGAGCAAAGUCAAGCUACAUUCAGAGUCCACUACAUUCAAAGGAUCACAACAGAUUUAUAAUAACACAAGUCGGGGCACCUGGGUGGCUGAGUCAGUUAAGCGAUCGACUUCGGCUCGGGUCACGAUCUCACAGUUCGUGAUUUCGAGCCCUGCAUCGGGCUCUGCGCUGACAGCUCCCAGCCUGGAGCCUGCUUUGGAUUCUGUCUCGCUCUGUCUCUGCCCAUCCCCUCCCCCUUUCUCUCUCCCUCUCUCUGUCUCAAAAAUAAACAUAAACAUUUACAAUAACAGGGGCACCUGGGUGGCUGAGUCGGUUAAGCGACCGACUUCGACUCAGGUCAUGAUCUCAAGGUUAUGGGUUCGAGCCCCACGUCAGGCUCCAUGCUGACAGCUCAGAGCCUGGAACCUGCUUCAGUUUCUGUGUCUCCCUCUUUCUCUGCCCCUCUCCUGCUCACGCUCUGUCUCUCUCUCUCUCUCAAAAACAAAACAUUUUUUAAAAAAUUAUAACAUGAGUCAAGUUUACUCCACUUUUCCAUCUUCCCCUUGCUUGCCCAACUUUCCCUGUCUCUGGAGAGAACAGAAACCACAGCCAUGGAAGGGGGCAACAAUACAAAGAGAAGGAAGUGAGGCGAUCAACCUGGCCCCUUCUCCUAGUCCCAGAUUUCCAACACGAGUGAUAACAGAGCUGUGAGAGGAGAUGGCUAACGUUUAUAUGGAUUAGACUUUCUACUGCACCAGACUUUUCACUACCUGAAAAAAAAGUAGGGCUUGGGGAUUUGUUUUGUUUUAAUUUAUCACCUGUUGGUAACUAGGAAAGCCAAUGGAGAACUUCCCAGAGAUUUACUGGUUAGUGGAACCUGGGGGUUGAAGGUGAAUAUCAGUUUUGGAGGGGCAGAAGCAAAAUAAAAGUUGCUUUCUACUUGUUACCUACCAAGUCCAGCUCAGACAAUAAACAGGUUUAACUUGAAUAUUUUUUCUACAAAUAAAAAAUAUAUAUAUUUUGGAUUCAA
Long non-coding RNA from Neofelis nebulosa (Clouded leopard), 2360 nucleotides. RefSeq lists it as uncharacterized. The transcript is spliced from 2 exons. NCBI's taxonomy places the organism in Eukaryota, Metazoa, Chordata, Mammalia, Carnivora, Felidae. The record is from RefSeq and is a predicted model, not a curated record.